This 1655-nucleotide small RNA is filed under the name Pan troglodytes (chimpanzee). RNAcentral describes it as "retained intron". The record is from RNAcentral. Lineage: Eukaryota; Metazoa; Chordata; Mammalia; Primates; Hominidae.
UAUAAUGGGUUUGUUUUUAGCUUUUUAAUUUUCUACCAUCCCCUUGACCUCUUGGAAAUGAGGCCGCCAUCUGCUGUAGUAGUUGCACUCAAGGUACAGCCUGGAGUACGUCGGGGAGUAAUGACCAUCCAGGUAGAUCUGAGGUUGUCAUGAAAGAAUAGAGGGAUGCUCCUGGCUGAGGGGACAUUUAUAGCCAGAGGAUUCUUUUGAGUAGUAUUAAUAAACUCUGGUCUUGCUACCUUUAUUUCUUGCAAAUGGUACAUCUCCACUGCCCCAACUGAACACAAACUUCUUUCUAGGAGCAGAAGCAGCAGUUAAGUGUUGCCUCUGUGAAGUUGGUUCGAGGUGAUUUGUGCUUGAAAGCCAGGAAUAGUUGCAAUGCAGUGUCUUUCACUGAUCCUCAUGGCUUAUAAAUAAAGUUUGAGGUCCACUGUUUGAGGCAGUUCUUCAGAUACCACAAAGAAUAUGACACAGUGAUUUCUUCCUAAUGAUAAUGUAGCUUCUUGUUUUCUCGGUCAAUGGAAUCCACUUUUUCUUGUAUAAAUAGAAAAGGUUUUCCUCUGAUGCUAACCCUGAAAGCCACUUCCCUGCAGUCUUAACCAUCACUGGGCACUGACACUUUUUCCUGUUGACACUUGCAGGACUGAUCCUGUGCGUCCCUUCAUCAGUGGGCACGUGGCAAACAGCAUGGCUGCAGAAGUGAUCGCCUUGCUACAUAGCUUGCUCAUGGCACCUGAAUCAAAUGCUGCUCAAAUAUGGACCACAACAGCAGAGAAGGUUCUGUCUCGAGCACUGAUGUACAUUCCACAAUUGGGGAAAUACGCAGAAAGCAUUCUGGAAAAUGGCAGCAGCAGUGGCAGGAAACUUGCCAAACUUCAGAGAAUUGCACGCCAGGCCGUUGCCGCACUGUGUGCACUUGGAGGCUUCAAAGAGACAAUCAAGAUAGGAUCCGAGGUUCAGGUAGAGGAAUUUCAGGAAGCAUUGGAGUAGUGGCUUCUAUCAAUGAACAGGAAGGUAUAGCUACAGUCAGAUUCCCACCCAUAGACUGUAGAAAGACUUCGCAAGCGUCAGACACAUUGACUAUUCCAUUGUCUAGACUUUGUGUUCCAAGAUCAGAGGCAUUGCCUCUUCAUAAACUGUCCAUUACUGAGAAGGUAGUACAGGCAGUCCAGUCCAUGUUGCUUCCUCAGGAGGGAAGUCUCUCUAUUCACACCUCACUUCCUGCAACAGGAGAUGGGUCAGCUCCUGUGAUGGCAGUCGUUCGGCUCCUUGCUGAAAUAAGGACAAGUUGACUUUUUUAGACAAUGAACACUGAUGACUUUGAAAUAUUGUAAAUCUUUUAACAUUAAGAGCAUGCCUGGUCAUGGCCCAGCUUUUAGAAGACAGCUUAUUUUGUGAAGAAUUCAUACAACAAUGUCCAGCAGCUGUUGAAGUUCUUAACCUAGUAGCCCAGGAAUGUAGUGCUGGUGAGUACCUGAACUUGCCUUACCACCCUGUUUUAUUGAAUUUUCUCAGCACAUUUGCAAUUUGAUAAUGGUAUGUUAAGUGUUUUCAUACACACACAUCAAAACAGCCGAGCUGUAAGGACAACACCUGUCACAACUCACGUGCAUCACAGACCUAGAAAUGUAAAUAAAAAGCUUUUAAUCUACACC